UUUGGCACUACUGGAACUAUGCUUGAUAUCAUCAUGGGCAUUAGCCAAUGCGAGCGGGAGCAUGCUGAGCGGCAGAUGAAGCUUUUAGAAGCUCAAAACCUUUCUGCCAAUGCUUCAGCAGAUGGUGAAAACUGAUCAAGUUCUUUGAUUAUUAGGACAAGCAAAAUGCAGCUGUUGUUUUUCGUAACUUACUAGUUGAUCUGUAAUUGGCAUGAUCUUCUGCUCUUGUACAAAUUUGUCCAUCCAAAAUACGGAAAUCUUGAUAUUUUAAAUAUUCUCCAAUAAGUAUAUUGAGCAGUGGUUAAUCCUUGAUUUUUUUUGUGAUUUGAUUAAGUUGCCCCCAAGUCCUAGAAAUAAAUCACAAAACCUGGCAUUUUGCGUUACCGGGGUUCCAAAACUCCAACCAGGGGUUUUGUGAAAUUUACUCAUGUUGUAAUUAUGCUUGCCGUGGCCCAUGUAGACCAUACUUGUUGUGGUCUGUGUGGCGAUCAACCGUUCAUAGAUCACCAAACACCGUUUUCAAGAUUGGUAUAUGUGUUCUUUACAUAUUUGUGUGAAGCAAGAUGAAGAGAGAGACCAGUUAAGUAUGCUACUUUGAUCAAAAGAAGUUGGAGGAGGAGCUCUGAUCAAAUGAAUUAUCAAACGAUCAUUAACCUUCUCCAUAGUUCAGAUAGUAAAUAGCAAAAACACAGAUACAAUCAUCCAAAUAACCUGAACCUCUUCUUGAAUGCAGAUCCAAGCUUUUUAACAAUCUGAAAAUUUCCCCAAAAAAGUACUUCCUACUCAUCUACCACACUGCUGAAUAUGCUGCAAACAAACAAUCCCUGAGUUUGAACUCAAUAUUCACUCAAUUUAUACAGCUGAAAUCAUAACCAAGUCAAGAACACACUGAAAUGAUUUAUAUUCGCCCAACAAAAGGAUAGUCAUCCAAUUGUGAAUUUGCAGAUGACAUUGAUAUUUGCGAACUAGUCUAGUGCUGCUUCUCCUCUACUUGGUAUUCACAGAACCAAAACUGAAGUAGCUUCGCUCUUGCCCUUGGCUUACAAUGAAUGCACUUCUUGGUAGCAUUACAAAUAUCCUGGUACAAGGAGGCAAAGAGCAUGUACGGCUAAGAACACACCAGUAUAAAAUUCGAGAAGAGAUCUAUAUACCAUCAAAUUAUCAAGACUUACCCAAGUGAAACAAAAAUUAUCCAAGACUAAGUCCAUUAAAGAAGCCCAUGCUGACUGCAAAACAGUUCACAUAGAUCAUAAAAAUUGAUUUUGUUGCAACAAAAGGGAAAGAACAAACUGCACUAUACACACACACACACACACAUACCAUGAAACCACCCUUCUCAUUUCGUGAAGUAAUAAACAACCUGUUUCUUUUGUUAUCUUCAAAUUUGAUUUACAGAUAGUACAGCCAACUGAUGGAAUCAAAUUCUGGAUGUCUGAAAUGAUACAAAUUCUUGUGUUAUUUAUUGACAGAAGAGAAUAUACAAUAGAUAUUUUUUGUCAGAAACUUUCAAGCGAUAGUACUUAUGUAUCACAAUUCAUAAGCAAAGAAACUGGAAGUAAAACAAAUCUGCGAUUAAGUAAAACAGAAGUGGAAUCCUGAAAUACUGGAUUUUUUAAUGGCACCAAAAUAACUACAAAAAUGUAACAGAUCUCCUACUGUAGCCAAUGCGAGCGGGAGCAUGCUGAGCGGCAGAUGAAGCUUUUAGAAGCUCAAAACCUUUCUGCCAAUGCUUCAGCAGAUGGUGAAAACUGACCAAGUUCUUUGAUUAUUAGGACAAGCGAAAUGCAGCUGUUGUUUUUCGUAACUUACUAGUUGAUCUGUAAUUGGCAUGAUCUUCUGCUCUUGUACAAAUUUGUCCAUCCAAAACACAGAAAUCUUGAUAUUUUAAAUAUUCGCCAAUAAGUAUAUUGAGCAGUGGCUAAUCCUUGAUUUUUUUUGUGAAUUGAUUAAGUUGCCCCAAGUCCAAGAAAUAAAUCACAAAACCUGGCAUUUUGCGUUACUGGGUUCCCAAAACUCUAGCUAGGGGUUUUGUGAAAUUUACUCAUGUUGUAAUUAUGCUUGCCGUGGCCCAUGUAGACCAUACUCGUUGUGGUCUGUGUGGCGAUCAACCGUUCAUAGAUCACCAAACACCGAUUUCAAGAUUGGUAUCUGUGUUGUUCUUUACAUAUUUGUGUGAAGCACUACUUUGAUCAAAAGAAGUUGGAGGAGGAGCUCUCAUCGAAUGAAUUAUCAAACGAUCAUCAACCUUUU
This 2250-nucleotide long non-coding RNA is filed under the name Oryza sativa (Asian cultivated rice). Its description in RNAcentral is "long non-coding RNA (OSAT_LNC000185)". The record is from RNAcentral. Lineage: Eukaryota; Viridiplantae; Streptophyta; Magnoliopsida; Poales; Poaceae.